Molecule: transfer RNA, 72 nt
Filed under: Bos taurus (domestic cattle)
Lineage: Eukaryota; Metazoa; Chordata; Mammalia; Artiodactyla; Bovidae
Also listed under: 1 other name
Rfam family: tRNA
About the family: Transfer RNA (tRNA) molecules are approximately 80 nucleotides in length. Their secondary structure includes four short double-helical elements and three loops (D, anti-codon, and T loops). Further hydrogen bonds mediate the characteristic L-shaped molecular structure. tRNAs have two regions of fundamental functional importance: the anti-codon, which is responsible for specific mRNA codon recognition, and the 3' end, to which the tRNAs corresponding amino acid is attached (by aminoacyl-tRNA synthetases). tRNAs cope with the degeneracy of the genetic code in two manners: having more than one tRNA (with a specific anti-codon) for a particular amino acid; and 'wobble' base-pairing, i.e. permitting non-standard base-pairing at the 3rd anti-codon position.
Source: Rfam by way of RNAcentral
UCCCUUGUGGCUCAGCUGGUAAAGAAUCUGCCUGCAAUGUAGGAGACCUGGGUUCGAUCCCUAGGUUGGGAA